This 497-nucleotide ribosomal RNA is filed under the name uncultured bacterium. RNAcentral's name for it is "partial 16S ribosomal RNA". It matches the Rfam family "Bacterial small subunit ribosomal RNA", at positions 28 to 507 of the family's 1533-position model. The record is from RNAcentral.
GAUGAACGCUGGCGGCGUGCCUAAUACAUGCAAGUCGAGCGAACAGACGAGGAGCUUGCUCCUCUGACGUUAGCGGCGGACGGGUGAGUAACACGUGGAUAACCUACCUAUAAGACUGGGAUAACUUCGGGAAACCGGAGCUAAUACCGGAUAAUAUAUUGAACCGCAUGGUUCAAUAGUGAAAGACGGUUUUGCUGUCACUUAUAGAUGGAUCCGCGCCGCAUUAGCUAGUUGGUAAGGUAACGGCUUUCCAAGGCAACGAUGCGUAACCGACCUGAGAGGGUGAUCGGCCACACUGGAACUGAGACACGGUCCAGACUCCUACGGGAGGCAGCAGUAGGGAAUCUUCCGCAAUGGGCGAAAGCCUGACGGAGCAACGCCGCGUGAGUGAUGAAGGUCUUCGGAUCGUAAAACUCUGUUAUUAGGGAAGAACAAAUGUGUAAGUAACUAUGCACGUCUUGACGGUACCUAAUCAGAAAGCCACGGCUAACUACGUG